CGUCUCGUGGCCUAUCGGUUAGAGCGUCUGCGUCGGAUGCGGGAGAUCGCGGAUUCGAAGCCCGGCUGAGUCGU
Non-coding RNA from Potamilus streckersoni, 74 nucleotides. The record is from the annotation of a GenBank genome assembly. NCBI's taxonomy places the organism in Eukaryota, Metazoa, Mollusca, Bivalvia, Unionida, Unionidae.